Molecule: ribosomal RNA, 258 nt
Filed under: uncultured bacterium
Lineage: Bacteria
Description: partial 16S ribosomal RNA
Rfam family: Bacterial small subunit ribosomal RNA
Source: RNAcentral
UACAGACGGUGCGGGCGUUAUUCAGCUUAAAUGGGUGUAAAGGGUAUGUAGGCGGUCACUUUCGAGAAGUAGAAAAACUGGGGGAAAUAACCGUAGUAGAUACUUUGAAGAAGGAAAGGGACUUAGAGUAUAUUGGGGGUGAGAGGAAUUUCCACAGUUAGCGGUAAAAUGCAGGGAGAGUGGAAGGAAUGCCAAAGGUGAAGACAUUGAUCUAUGAUAUACUGACGCUGAGGUACGGAGGUUAGGGGAGCAAAUCGG